CCUCUCCCCCCACAGCCCCCGUGAGCACCAGCGGUGUCACCAGCAGUGUCACCAGCAGUGCCACCAGCUGUGUCACCAGCAGUGUCACCAGCAGCUCCAGAGGGACAGCAGCCCCUGGGAGCUCCGGUGAGAGCCAGCCUGGGGGGCACUGGGCAGCCUGGGAAUGGCCAUGGACGCCCUGGAUCCCCUACCUGGGGCUGCACUCAGGGGUGCAGGUGCCACCAUGAGCCCAGAGCCCCCCUGGCUGCUCCCCCCUCCCUGGGGGGGUUGUUGAGGGCUCCCCUUUUGUCCCCCAGUGCCAGGGGGGGUCAGGAGGUGACACAGGAGCUGCGUGCCAGCUCUGUGAUGGCUGGGGUGGUGGCAGUUGGGUGGCUGGAGCCAGAACUGAGUCACCCCUUUCUCCGUGGUGCUUGGAGGCUGGGCAUCAGUGUCAGUGGGGGGAAUAAUGGGGUGCCAGGGAAAUAACGGGGUGCCAGGGGGAAAAACAGGGUGCCAGGGUGAAUAAUGGAAUGCCAGGUGGGAAAACGAGGUGCCAGGGGGAAUAACGGGGUGCCAGGGGGAAUAACGGGGUGCCGGGGGAAUAACGGGGUGCCCAUCUCGCCCCGCAGAGCAGCGCCCCACCGAGCUGAGCCCUGCCGUGGUCGCUGUCCUCUCCCUGGCCGUGUGCGUGCUGCUGGCGGCGGUGGCCGCGCUGCUGGUGCGGCGGGCCCGGCGCGGGACCCCCCCGUUCCAGCACCUGGACGAGGUGCCCAUGAGCAAAGUGACCGAGGGGUCCCCUGUGCCCACCCCCAGUGCAGCUGAAUAAAGGAGCCGCUCCCGCCUCUGCCUUCCCGUCUGCCGUGUGCUCUGCAGCCCGCCCGGGAAACCCCCCGGUCCCGGGGAUGCUCCGGCCGCUUUCGGGGUGCCCCGGGCCGGGCUGGCGGCCGCGGGCUGUUCCCGGUGCCGGGGGUGCGGGUGCGGGGUGCGCGGGCUGUUCCCGGUGCGGCGGGGCGGGUACCGGGGAUGCGGCGGUGCCGCCGGGGUGCGGGGCCCGCGCAGCCCCCCCGGCGAGGUGCGAUGGGAGGGAGGGAGCGAGCGGCCAGGCACGCACGUCGCUUUCCUUCUGCUCCGCUGCACUCGGC
RNAcentral lists this long non-coding RNA (1121 nucleotides) under Junco hyemalis (dark-eyed junco). RNAcentral describes it as "lncRNA (ENSJHYG00000006047.1)". The record is from RNAcentral. Lineage: Eukaryota; Metazoa; Chordata; Aves; Passeriformes; Passerellidae.